Molecule: RNA transcript, 8213 nt
Organism: Micropterus salmoides (largemouth bass)
Lineage: Eukaryota; Metazoa; Chordata; Actinopteri; Centrarchiformes; Centrarchidae
Gene: dock8
Gene name: dedicator of cytokinesis 8
Exons: 48
Source: RefSeq, a predicted model, not a curated record
GGAUGGCUCAAAUCAAAUGCGGAAGUUGACACCCAGGAAAGCUGCUGUGCCGCGCCACAACCAAGAUGAGUGUUGUUGACAUGACAGUUGAGCAGUAGCAAGGAGACCAAGCGGUGCGUCGGUGACAGCGAGGCGGCGAGACCGCAGGAAGACACCAAAGCCAGCGCCGCUGAACUGGACCUCAGACCCGGGGAUGUCUUCUGUGGGCAGCGCAGACCGACGGGCUUUCGCUCUGAAAAUCAACAGGCACAGUUCUGCAGAGAUCAGACGAAACUUCAGUGGGAACUAUGGCUUUAAUCACACCCGAACCAACUCCAGCGCUUCGGCAACAGUGUACCUCACUGUGCCUCAGUCGUAUGAAGCAGUGGAGCCGCUGGACCUGGAGGAGUUCCUGAUGUCACAAUUAAAAAGUGGAGACUCAGCCCUGAUGCAUGAACUUGGAGACUUCCCCGACGAUGACCUGAAGGUGGAGCAUGUGGAGAAGGAGUGUCGCACUGUUCGACACUCUGUCCCCGAAGAUGGAGUGGAGUUGGAUGCACAUGUGAGAGACUGUGUAAAGAGUUACACCCAGCCGUGGCUUGUGGUCUCCAGAAGGUGCCAGGGGGAUGGCUGGAGCACAUAUUCGGAGCGAGCAGGCCUACACAAACGCCUUCAGAAGCAGACCUUUGAGUAUGACGUCCAGCCCGAGAACCCACAGCAGAAGCCAGUCAAGUCUCCAACUCUAGUGGGGCUGAGUGAUGACUCUGGCCGCACACUGACCUCCUCCGACUUUAACUUGCGGUUUUUGACCCCGGACAAGAGAGUGGAGGGGCUGCUGGCCUACAGCAGCCACGAGGAGCUGGACCGCAUCAACCAGGAUGCACGGCAGGGGAACAGACUACCCGAGCUGUUUGCUCUGUACCCACCGGCCGAUGAGGAAGAUGCGGUAGAGAUCCGGCCCAUCCCUGACUGCCCCAAAGAACACACUGGAGACCGCAUCCUGGUCCGAUGCCAGACCAUCAAGUUUGAGAUUGACAUUGAGCCCAUAUUUGCCACUAUGGCCUUGUAUGACCUGAAAGAGAAGAAAAAGAUAUCAGAGAAUUUCUACUUUGAUUUGAACUCAGAUCAGUUUAAGAAUUUCUUGAAACCUCACACUCCACAUGUGGAUCCGUCCUCCCUGGCCCGAUCUGCCAUCUUCUCCAUCACCUAUCCUGCUCCAGAUAUCUACCUGGUCAUCAAGAUUGAAAAGGUUCUCCAGCAGGGAGAGAUCAGUGACUGUGCUGACCCGUACAUAACAAUGAAGGAAUGUGACUCUACAAAGAACAAGGACAAGCUUGAGAAGCUGCGAGGUCAGGCGGAGAUGUUCUGCCAGAGGCUGGGCCGCUAUCGCAUGCCCUUCGCCUGGACAACCGUUAAUAUCAUGGAGGUUGUCUCCACUGCUGCGAUAGACCGCGAUGUCACCGACUCUGACAGCUUAAAAGGAGGUAAAUCUAGCAGCAUUGACCGGAGAGCACAGCUUCCCAGGAGGAAUUCUGAACGUUACAAUACCAUUGAUGAUCAAUUUUGUACCAUUUCUGCGUUCAAACCUGCCACCAUCACUCUCAGCCCCAUCUUCAAACAGGAGGGAGAUCGUUUGAGUGAUGAGGACUUGCUCAAGUUCUUGGCUGAGAUCAAGAAAACCUCCACUCCACAGAGGAGAUUCAAGACAAUACCAGGUUCCAUAAAACUAGACAUGUCUCCAGUCCACGUCACGCCAUCGGCAUGUUUGUCCACUGAACUCAUCCCUCUGAUACCUGUGGCAGAGAAGAAUACUCGGCUGACCAAAGAGGUGCUGGAGUUUCCAUCCAGUGAGGUUUAUGUCCCCCACAGCAUUUACAGGAACCUGCUCUAUGUCUACCCCCAGAGGCUAAACUUUGUUAACAGGCUUACAUCAUCAAGAAACAUCUCCAUCAAAAUCCAGUUUAUGAGUGGAGAGGACCCGGCCUGCUCCAUGCCUGUCAUUUUUGGGAAAUCAAAUGGCCCCGAAUUUUUACAGGAAGUCUACACCCCUGUUACCUACCAUAACAAGUCCCCAGACUUCUAUGAGGAAGUGAAGCUGUCUCUUCCUGCCCGUCUGACGGAGAGACAUCACUUGCUGUUCACCUUCUACCACAUCAGCUGCCAGCAGAAACAGAACCAGAGUGGCAGCUGUGAAACGCUCAUUGGAUACUCUUGGCUGCCCAUCUUGAAUAAUGACCGGCUGCAGACUGGUCAGUUCUGUCUGCCCAUUGUCUUGGAGCGACUGCCUGUCAACUAUUCAAUGCACACGCCUGAGAAACUUCCUCCUCAGGCCCCGCCAGUCAAGUGGAUGGAGAGUCACAAAGGACUUUUCAACCUUGAGAUACAGGCUGUGUCAUCUGUACACACACAAGACAACCACCUGCAGCGUUUCUUCACCCUCUGCCAUGCCCUGGAGGGUGGCGCUACAUUCCCGCUGCGGGUCAGGGAGGAGAAGAUUCCAGAGAACAAGCUGGAGCAUGAGCUGAAGCUCAGCAUCAUCUCCCUGUCCUCCUCCAGUUUAGAGCCUCUGGUUCUCUUCCUCCAUCUGGUGCUGGAUAAACUCUUCACUCUCAUCAUGCAGCCCAUGGUCAUCGCUGGCCAAACCGCCAAUCUGGCUCAGAUAGCCUUCGAAUCAGUGGUGUCUAUUGUCAACAGUCUUCAUAACAGUCAGGAGCUUACCAGGGACCAGCAGGGUAGGAACAGCCUCUUGGCGACUUACCUUUACUGGGUAUUUCGCUUGCCUGAUCCCCCUCAAGACAUGCAGAAUGCAGGUUCAGGGAGUAUGAUACCUUCUGCCGAGAGCCGUUACAGCACCAUGGGUCGGGCCACAGCAGCCACAGUUGGCAGUAUGCUUCUCCAGUCCAGAAUCCGCAGCAGCAGCAACCCUGACAUACCCGGUCCACAUACCUCUGCUGAAGAUGCUGAAGUCAAAAACAUCUUUUCUGCCAAGGGCCACAACAACCCAGGCAGCCGCAUGUCCACCUAUGUGGACGUGAGCAACCACCAGAACCCCACAGGAAGCACCAGGCCCUCUAACAGAAAGCAGUUUCAUGAGGAGCUGGCCCUGCAGAUGGUCGUCAGCACUGGGGUCUGCAGAGAGAACGCAUACAAAUAUGCCUGGUUCUUCUUUGAGCUAUUGGUGAAAAGCAUGGCUCAGCAUGUGUCUCAGCUCGACAAGCACAGUGUCCCUCGAAGAAGUCGCUUCUCUGACCGAUUUAAAGAUGACAUCACCACCAUUGUCUCUGUGGUUACAGCUGAGAUUGGGACCAUCCUUGUCAAACAACAUAAGGAGGUAGAACAAGCGGAGAAAGUCAACAUCAGCCUGGCCUUCUUCCUCUAUGACCUGCUGUCUCUGAUGGACCGAGGGUUUGUCUUUCAGCUGGUGAAAAACUACUGCAACCAGAUGUCAGCUAAGAGCGUGUCAAUGCCAACGUUGAUCAGCAUGCGUCUGGAGUUCCUGCGAAUCCUGUGCAGUCAUGAGCACUACCUCAACCUGAGCCUCUUCUUCAGCGGGUCUUCCUCCGCUCCCACAUCACCGUGUCCAUCUAUCUCCUCGCAGAGCUCCGGCUCGUGUAGUUUCCAGGAGCAGCAGAGGAUCUUGGGGCUGUUUGAGCUUUCUCAGGAAUUUAAGCAGCAGCACUACCUUACCGGUCUGCUGCUGACAGAGCUCAGCGCCGCCCUAGACAUGGAGUCAGAGGGGGGAAAGGUCCAGAGAAAGGCCAUCAAUGCCAUCUGCAGCCUGCUGUGUUCCCAUGAUCUUGACCAGCGCUGUGAUAAACCUGAUGUCAGAGCCAAGGUGGCUGGCCUUUACCUCUCCCUGGUGGGGAUCAUAAUUGAUUCCACCACCUAUCUGGACUUCACAGUUUCUGACACGCGCGGUGGUAAAAACAAGAUGGGCGGACCCGUGGAUGACCUUGAAAAUGUCCCACCCAUAAAUCAGUCUGUAGCUAUGGCGAUUGCCGGGAAUCCUUUCAACACGCUCGGACGGAAUGUUCUCGUUUCUAUGGCAUCGAUGCAAGGUAAAUCCAUAGCCACCCUGGCAGCAGACACCAGUCGCCACCUGUUGGUGUGUUUUCUGUGGGUGAUGAAGAACGCUGAUAGGAAUCUGAUUCAGCGCUGGACUAUAGAAAUGCCUCCCUCGCAGCUCAACAAGCUGCUGGAGCUCCUCACUAUCUGUGUGUCCUGCUUUGAGUAUAGGGGUAAGCAGAGCACUGACAAAGUGAGCACCCAGGCCUUACAGAAAUCUCAUCAGGCCAAGAUGCAGCUGGAAGAAGCCCUCUUGAGAGGAACGGGAGCCCGUGGGGAAAUGAUGAAACGAGUUGGAGGAAUGGAUAGGACCAUGGGCCAAAGAGAAAACCUACGAUGGAGGAAAGACCUCACUCAGUGGAGACAGACCAAUGACAAACAGGAUAAGACUAAAGCAGAGUUGGACCAGGAGGCUCUGAUUAGUGGAAACUUAGCCACAGAGGCUAACCUCAUAGUGCUGGACCUGCUGGAAACCAUUGUACAGGCAGUGCCAUUGACUGAGUGUAAGGACAGCGUGGUUGGCGGGGUGUUGAAGGUGUUGCUCCACUCUCUCACCUGCAACCAGAGUACCACUUUCCUCUCUCACACCUUCAGCACACUUAGAGCGCUUGUUGUCAAGUUUGGGGACCUGUUGUUUGAGGAGGAGGCGGAGCAGUGUGCAGACCUGUGCCAGAAGAUGCUUCAGUACUGCAGCAGCCCUGUCGAUGAGAACAGGAGCCAGGCCUGUGCCACCCUCUAUCUCAUCAUGAGAUAUAGCUACAGCAAUGCCAGUAACUUCUCAAGAGUGAAAAUGCAGGUCACCAUGUCUCUGGCCUCGCUGGUGGGCAAGUCCUCAGACUUCCAGGAGGAAUACUUACGACGCUCACUCCGCACCAUCCUGGCCUACGCGGAGGAGGACACGGAGAUGCAGAACACUCAGCUGCCCUCACAGGUGGAUGAGCUUCUAAGAAACCUUAACAGUAUUUUGUCAGACACGGUGAAGAUGAGGGAGUUCCAGGAAGAUCCCGAGAUGCUCAUGGACCUCAUGUACAGGAUAGCGAAGGGCUACCAGACGUCUCCUGACCUCCGUCUGACCUGGCUGCAGAACAUGGCAGAAAAGCACAACAACAGGAAGUGUUUCACUGAGUCGGCUAUGUGUCUGGUCCACGCCGCUGCCCUGGUGGCCGAGUAUCUCAGCAUGCUGGAGGAUCACAAGUAUCUGCCUGUUGGCAGCGUCACCUUCCAGAACAUCUCCCCCAACGUGCUGGAGGAGUCGGCAGUGUCAGAUGACAUCCUGUCCCCCGACGAGGAUGGGGUGUGUUCGGGACGCUACUUCACUGAGAGCGGCCUGGUGGGAUUGCUUGAACAGGCUGCUGAGCUCUUCAGCAAUGGUGGUCUCUUCGAGGCAGUGAAUGAGGUCUACAAGAUCAUCAUUCCAAUCCUGGAGGCUCACAGAGAUUUCAGAAAACUGGCAUCAACUCAUGACAAACUACACAGAGCAUUUGAUAACAUCAUUCAGAAGGGCCAUAAGAGGAUGUUUGGAACCUAUUUCCGGGUGGGUUUUUAUGGGGCUAAGUUCGGCGACCUGGACGAACGGGAAUUCAUUUACAAGGAGCCAGGGAUCACACAUCUGCCUGAGAUAUCACACAGGCUAGAGAACUUCUACAGUCAGUGUUUUGGAGAGGACACGUUGGUGAUGAUCAAGGACUCUACACCAGUGGACAGAAAACAACUCAACCCCAGCAAAGUAUAUAUCCAGAUCACAUAUGUGGAGCCCUUCUUUGAUGACUAUGAGAUGAAAGACCGGCUGACAAACUUUGAGAAGAACUUCAACCUGCGCCGCUUCAUGUACACCACGCCCUUCACCAAGAGCGGGAGGCCGAGGGGUGAACUCAACGAGCAGUACAAGAGGAAGACCAUCCUCACCACUAUGCAUGCCUUCCCCUACGUCAAGACCCGCAUCAAUGUCAUCCAGAAAGAGGAGUUCGAUCUGACUCCUAUUGAAGUCGCCAUAGAGGACAUGCAGAAGAAGACUAGAGAGCUAGCAGUUGCCACACAUAGAGAAAAGCCUGAUGCAAAGAUGUUACAGAUGCUUCUACAAGGCUCUGUGGGAGCCACAGUUAACCAGGGCCCAUUGGAGGUGGCCCAGGUCUUCCUGAAUGAGAUCCCAGCGGACCCGAAGCUCUUCCGUCACCACAAUAAGCUGCGCCUGUGUUUCAAAGAGUUUAUAAUGAGGUGUGGUGAGGCAGUUGAGAAGAAUAAGCACCUGAUCACGUUGGACCAGAAAGAGUACCAGCAGGAGCUGAAGAAGAACUACAACCGCCUGAGAGAGAGCCUGAGGCCCAUGCUGGAGAGGAAGAUUCCCGAGCUCUACAAACCCAUCAUCAGGCCUCGGCUGGAGAACCGGUAAACAGACCCACCAAGUCAAACAGGCCAAUACUGCUUUGACAAGAGAGACUGAGGGAUUCCUUUAAACGUCUAAGUUUCCGCAGAGCUCCGGAGGAAAACUCCUGAGAAUGCUACAGCUCGUCUGAGAGAGCGAGAGCGCUACAGAGAGGAAGGGGAGGCUGGCACACAACUGAGAGGAAAAGAGAAGAAAAGAUGAAAAAAGGAGAAACACAAGGAAAGGAACUGCUGGUGAUACCAUUGCACCCCUCUGCGCUGGAGGAGUACCUUGUGUUGGAGGACUUACAGUUUCAGCAGUCUGGCAGUGUUAUAUAAUAUCUGCCACAUGUCCACUUUUGAUUGAUCAUGGUUGUUUGUUACAGGACGUAAGAAUAGGGAAGUGGGAAUCUCAAGCAAUGUGUAGCUUACUGAGCAUUUCACUGUAAAAUCUUCAGACGCUUUGGCUCUGUUGGUUUCCUUUUUUAGAUAACUUCAAGUCCUAAUAAUGCUGCAAACAUUUCCUCUGGGUUGGUAAAGAGGCGGACUAGUGUUCCUCUCUGAGGUCCUCGCUGACCCAGAGCCUGUAUGUGUGCCAAUAAUGCUUGUGUCCUGUGUGUAUGUGUAUGUAAAUGUGUGAGUGGAUGAGUGGUUAUUUAGAUAAUUUCUGGAGUUAAAGAUGUUGAAGCCAUACUGAAGUCACUUUGUACUCAGUAAUGAUAAAUGAUUCUGUUAUGUGCUAAAGGGCCUUUGAAAUUCCACUCUGGGAGUCUAUGUGUGACAUGUGCCAGUUAGAGCAGCAAGAGUAUGGAUGGAUUUGUGCACUAGAAAAAAUAGACACAAUUUCUUUCCUGUGUUAACUCUUAAGGCCAUUUUUGUCUUAUUAUUGUUGGACAUACAGUACCUAGAAGAGUUUAACUUAUUAAGAGUUAUCUGUUGUAAUUUCACAGGAGGCAGAUAGACUUAUCUGAGGCUCUAAAUUACAGAUGGCUUAGCUCUAAAUCCACAUUUUGUAUAUAGUAGCGGUAUUUCAUCAAAUAAUUUCAAAGAUGUUUACAAAGGUAUGAAAAACUAUUCUGCAUUUUAUUUUAUGGAAAUGUAUUUUUUAGAUGAAUAAUAGCAAUAAUGAUAUUAAUUUGAACUAUUAUUCAGUAAGCAGGAUUCAGUGACUGAGUGUGCUGUAUCGAUGUCAGUGUAUGUUCCAGUUGUUUCAGUACCUGUGUAAAUAGACAGCUUUCUACGAUACACACAGUGCCAAAUUUAAUUAAUUCCUUAUUUACUUAGUAACUGAGACACUUAACUAGAUAUGCAACAUUUUGAAAACUCAAGUGUGAAUUAUGUUUUCUCCAUAUUUCAGAAUACAUUCCAGUUGAGAAAAAUAUACUACUGCUUUGCAGUAUUAAAGUGUGACAACCUGAAUUUAUUUGACAUCCAUGAAACAGCUCAUUUCAUUGGUGUUGCAGCUCAUACUGUAUUUCAGUAAUGAAAAUGUUCUGUGUCAAAAGUGGGUAUACAUUUUUAUAUACAUUAUUAAUACUCAUUUAAACAUUUUUCACUCAGUUUCCAGGUACAUCUCUUAUUUAUGAACUGUUUUUGAAAUGGAUAAAUAAGAUGAAAAGGUUAUUCAGUGUGUGUAUUAAUUUUGAGAAUUAAAAUGUAUACCUAUUUUUUGAAACAUACAAUAUAUAUUGCUGAAAGUUGGUGUUCAACUAUUUUUAUGUUCAUACCUGUUGUGGAAAUGUGGAAUUUUACCUUGUCAUGCAUACAAUGCUGUUGAAGCACCUGAAUAAAACUUAUUAAUAUAUGCA